UGGUGGGGUUGCAGACUGGUACAACCAUUCUGGAAAUCAGUCUGGAGGUUCCUCAGAAAAUUGGACAUUGAACUGCCUGAGGAUCCAGCUAUACCUCUCUUGGGCAUAUACCCAAAAGAUGCCUCAACAUAUAAAAGAGACACGUGCUCCACUAUGUUCAUCGCAGCCUUAUUUAUAAUAGCCAGAAAAUGGAAAGAACCCAGAUGCCCUUCAACAGAGGAAUGGAUACAGAAAAUGUGGUAC
This 243-nucleotide long non-coding RNA is filed under the name Rattus norvegicus (Norway rat). RNAcentral's name for it is "long non-coding RNA NONRATT025778". The record is from RNAcentral. Lineage: Eukaryota; Metazoa; Chordata; Mammalia; Rodentia; Muridae.